AGGCCUAACACAUGCAAGUCGAACGGUAACAGGAAGCAGCUUGCUGCUUCGCUGACGAGUGGCGGACGGGUGAGUAAUGUCUGGGAAACUGCCUGAUGGAGGGGGAUAACUACUGGAAACGGUAGCUAAUACCGCAUAACGUCGCAAGACCAAAGAGGGGGACCUUCGGGCCUCUUGCCAUCGGAUGUGCCCAGAUGGGAUUAGCUAGUAGGUGGGGUAACGGCUCACCUAGGCGACGAUCCCUAGCUGGUCUGAGAGGAUGACCAGCCACACUGGAACUGAGACACGGUCCAGACUCCUACGGGAGGCAGCAGUGGGGAAUAUUGCACAAUGGGCGCAAGCCUGAUGCAGCCAUGCCGCGUGUAUGAAGAGGGCCUUCGGGUUGUAAAGUACUUUCAGCGGGGAGGAAGGCGACAGGGUUAAUAACCCUGUCGAUUGACGUUACCCGCAGAAGAAGCACCGGCUAACUCCGUGCCAGCAGCCGCGGUAAUACGGAGGGUGCAAGCGUUAAUCGGAAUUACUGGGCGUAAAGCGCACGCAGGCGGUCUGUCAAGUCGGAUGUGAAAUCCCCGGGCUCAACCUGGGAACUGCAUUCGAAACUGGCAGGCUAGAGUCUUGUAGAGGGGGGUAGAAUUCCAGGUGUAGCGGUGAAAUGCGUAGAGAUCUGGAGGAAUACCGGUGGCGAAGGCGGCCCCCUGGACAAAGACUGACGCUCAGGUGCGAAAGCGUGGGGAGCAAACAGGAUUA
Molecule: ribosomal RNA, 747 nt
Filed under: uncultured Enterobacterales bacterium
Lineage: Bacteria; Pseudomonadati; Pseudomonadota; Gammaproteobacteria; Enterobacterales
Description: bacterial SSU rRNA
Rfam family: Bacterial small subunit ribosomal RNA
Source: RNAcentral